UGUAUAAUGGGUCAGCGACUUAUAUUCUGUAGCAAGGUUAACCGAAUAGGGGAGCCGAAGGGAAACCGAGUCUUAACUGGGCGUUAAGUUGCAGGGUAUAGACCCGAAACCCGGUGAUCUAGCCAUGGGCAGGUUGAAGGUUGGGUAACACUAACUGGAGGACCGAACCGACUAAUGUUGAAAAAUUAGCGGAUGACUUGUGGCUGGGGGUGAAAGGCCAAUCAAACCGGGAGAUAGCUGGUUCUCCCCGAAAGCUAUUUAGGUAGCGCCUCGUGAAUUCAUCUCCGGGGGUAGAGCACUGUUUCGGCAAGGGGGUCAUCCCGACUUACCAACCCGAUGCAAACUGCGAAUACCGGAGAAUGUUAUCACGGGAGACACACGGCGGGUGCUAACGUCCGUCGUGAAGAGGGAAACAACCCAGACCGCCAGCUAAGGUCCCAAAGUCAUGGUUAAGUGGGAAACGAUGUGGGAAGGCCCAGACAGCCAGGAUGUUGGCUUAGAAGCAGCCAUCAUUUAAAGAAAGCGUAAUAGCUCACUGGUCGAGUCGGCCUGCGCGGAAGAUGUAACGGGGCUAAACCAUGCACCGAAGCUGCGGCAGCGACACUAUGUGUUGUUGGGUAGGGGAGCGUUCUGUAAGCCUGUGAAGGUGGCCUGUGAGGGUUGCUGGAGGUAUCAGAAGUGCGAAUGCUGACAUAAGUAACGAUAAAGCGGGUGAAAAGCCCGCUCGCCGGAAGACCAAGGGUUCCUGUCCAACGUUAAUCGGGGCAGGGUGAGUCGACCCCUAAGGCGAGGCCGAAAGGCGUAGUCGAUGGGAAACAGGUUAAUAUUCCUGUACUUGGUGUUACUGCGAAGGGGGGACGGAGAAGGCUAUGUUGGCCGGGCGACGGUUGUCCCGGUUUAAGCGUGUAGGCUGGUUUUCCAGGCAAAUCCGGAAAACCAAGGCUGAGGCGUGAUGACGAGGCACUACGGUGCUGAAGCGACAAAUGCCCUGCUUCCAGGAAAAGCCUCUAAGCAUCAGGUAACAUCAAAUCGUACCCCAAACCGACACAGGUGGUCAGGUAGAGAAUACCAAGGCGCUUGAGAGAACUCGGGUGAAGGAACUAGGCAAAAUGGUGCCGUAACUUCGGGAGAAGGCACGCUGAUAUGUAGGUGAAGCGACUUGCUCGUGGAGCUGAAAUCAGUCGAAGAUACCAGCUGGCUGCAACUGUUUAUUAAAAACACAGCACUGUGCAAACACGAAAGUGGACGUAUACGGUGUGACGCCUGCCCGGUGCCGGAAGGUUAAUUGAUGGGGUUAGCGGUAACGCGAAGCUCUUGAUCGAAGCCCCGGUAAACGGCGGCCGUAACUAUAACGGUCCUAAGGUAGCGAAAUUCCUUGUCGGGUAAGUUCCGACCUGCACGAAUGGCGUAAUGAUGGCCAGGCUGUCUCCACCCGAGACUCAGUGAAAUUGAACUCGCUGUGAAGAUGCAGUGUACCCGCGGCAAGACGGAAAGACCCCGUGAACCUUUACUAUAGCUUGACACUGAACAUUGAGCCUUGAUGUGUAGGAUAGGUGGGAGGCUUUGAAGUGUGGACGCCAGUCUGCAUGGAGCCGACCUUGAAAUACCACCCUUUAAUGUUUGAUGUUCUAACGUUGGCCCGUAAUCCGGGUUGCGGACAGUGUCUGGUGGGUAGUUUGACUGGGGCGGUCUCCUCCUAAAGAGUAACGGAGGAGCACGAAGGUUGGCUAAUCCUGGUCGGACAUCAGGAGGUUAGUGCAAUGGCAUAAGCCAGCUUGACUGCGAGCGUGACGGCGCGAGCAGGUGCGAAAGCAGGUCAUAGUGAUCCGGUGGUUCUGAAUGGAAGGGCCAUCGCUCAACGGAUAAAAGGUACUCCGGGGAUAACAGGCUGAUACCGCCCAAGAGUUCAUAUCGACGGCGGUGUUUGGCACCUCGAUGUCGGCUCAUCACAUCCUGGGGCUGAAGUAGGUCCCAAGGGUAUGGCUGUUCGCCAUUUAAAGUGGUACGCGAGCUGGGUUUAGAACGUCGUGAGACAGUUCGGUCCCUAUCUGCCGUGGGCGCUGGAGAACUGAGGGGGGCUGCUCCUAGUACGAGAGGACCGGAGUGGACGCAUCACUGGUGUUCGGGUUGUCAUGCCAAUGGCACUGCCCGGUAGCUAAAUGCGGAAGAGAUAAGUGCUGAAAGCAUCUAAGCACGAAACUUGCCCCGAGAUGAGUUCUCCCUGAGACUUAGAGUCUCCUGAAGGAACGUUGAAGACGACGACGUUGAUAGGCCGGGUGUGUAAGCGCAGCGAUGCGUUGAGCUAACCGGUACUAAUGAACCGUGAGG
This 2328-nucleotide ribosomal RNA is filed under the name Escherichia coli. RNAcentral describes it as "partial 23S ribosomal RNA". It matches the Rfam family "Bacterial large subunit ribosomal RNA", at positions 609 to 2915 of the family's 2925-position model. Lineage: Bacteria; Pseudomonadati; Pseudomonadota; Gammaproteobacteria; Enterobacterales; Enterobacteriaceae. The record is from RNAcentral.